Molecule: ribosomal RNA, 433 nt
Filed under: uncultured bacterium
Lineage: Bacteria
Description: partial 16S ribosomal RNA
Rfam family: Bacterial small subunit ribosomal RNA
Source: RNAcentral
AAUGAACGCUGGCGGCAUGCCUAAUACAUGCAAGUCGAACGAGACCUCCGGGUUUUUUCGCGUACGGCUGCGUAACCCGUCGGAACCUUCACUUAGGUUCGGAAUAACUACCCGACUGGGAUGCCUUUACGGGAUAAGGCCUACGGACCAAAGAUUUAUCGCCUUUGGAUGGGCACGCGUGGGAUUAGCUAGUUCGUAUGGUAAAAGACUACGAGGGCGACGAUCCACAACUGGUCUGAGAGAAAGGUUAGCCACACUGGGACGGAGAAACGGCCCAGACUCCUACGGGAGGGAGCAGUGGGGGAUAGUGGAACAUGGGCUAAGGGAUGAACCUGUAAUGACACGUGAGUGAUGAAGGCCUUAAGGUUGUAAAGCUCUUGUACCCGGGAUGAUAAUGACGGUACCGGGACAGUAAGCUCCGGCUAACUCCGUG